UAGAGUUUGAUCCUGGCUCAGGACGAACGCUGGCGGCGUGCUUAACACAUGCAAGUCGAACGGAAAGGUCUCUUCGGAGAUACUCGAGUGGCGAACGGGUGAGUAACACGUGGGCGAUCUGCCCUGCACUUCGGGAUAAGCCUGGGAAACUGGGUCUAAUACCGGAUAGGACCACGGGAUUCAUGUCCUGUGGUGGAAAGCUUUUUGCGGUGCAGGAUGA
RNAcentral lists this ribosomal RNA (220 nucleotides) under Mycobacterium marinum. Its description in RNAcentral is "partial 16S ribosomal RNA". It matches the Rfam family "Bacterial small subunit ribosomal RNA", at positions 1 to 228 of the family's 1533-position model. The record is from RNAcentral. Lineage: Bacteria; Bacillati; Actinomycetota; Actinomycetes; Mycobacteriales; Mycobacteriaceae.